CCGUUGUGGAGAAGAAGGGGGUAGAGGAAGAGGUGGUGGCCGGUGGUGGCGUCGGUCCGACCGCACCACCCCGCGGAAGCGGUGGGUAGGUAGAUAGGUAGUGAUCGCGGGGAGUGGUGGUCGCGGGUAGAGCGGACAGCAUGGGCGCGCGGAGGUGGAUGAUGACUAAGAGGAACGGCGAGGGAAGCGAAUGGAGCGACAAGAAGAAGAAGGGCUGCAGGAGGGACGACGGGAAGACGAAGAGGAGACGAAAGGGAGAGGAUCGCGUAGUUGAACGACGAAGAAGAAGAACGCGGCUCGAUGGCUACGAGGAAGAAGAGGACAUGGACGACGACGAGAAGUGGAAGAGAACGGGGUUUGACGACGACGAGAGAGAGGUUGCGGGGACGACGAGGAGGGAAGAGAGACUUGGAGGGAAGCGACUAGGAGGGAGAACGAAGUGGGGACGACGAGGAGGAGAGUUGCAGAACGAGGAAGGGAAGAGCCUUUGGAGUUUUGACGACGACGAGGAAGAAAGGUUCGAGGCGACGACGAAAAAGGAACAACACGGGACGACGUGGAGGAGGAGAAUAAGGAAUGGAGGAGACGGCGACGAGAGAAAUCUAGAGAGAGAGAGAGAUACUUAAAAGAUAUUCGAUUCUACACAUUUUGAAACAUUUUAAGUCCAAAAUUCUCACAACCGUUAGACAUCGAACAAGACAAACCAUGAACAUUAUAUAUUACGAACUGAUCAUAAUGAAAUCCAACACUCUUUAUUAACAGUAACUUUAGAACGAGACACUAAGUCAUUGGAAGAUCAUAAACACACACAAGUGGAAAACAUGAUCAAUUGAAACAUACACAAACUUGGGUAGCUUUAUUGAUCAGGGACAUAAUGGAUACAUGGACACUGUAUAUACGAACACUAUAUUUGUAAAAGGACACUGUAUAUACGAACACUAUAUAUGGACUUAUAAGACAGUAUACGAACGAUCUAUAUAUACAGGUACAGAAAACUGAAGGGAACAGUAACUACAAUCAUAAAAUUAAAGAGUUCGUAAUGCUUUUGUGGUUUUUCUGUUACUCAUUUUAGACUUAGAGGGACACGAGAAACGAAAGAGAAACAGCAGAUGAAACCAAUCAAAUCCAGAUAUAAAGGAGCGUUAGUAGUAGACUUAAGAAAGUGGAUCGAAAUCAGCUCGUAGCAAACGCAGCGGAUCAGGGACACCUCUUGUGCUGUGAGCGUCAAACCGGCUUUUUGGGGUUACAUGAGUGUUAUCUAGUAAAACCGCGGCAACGGCCCCGGAUCGCAGCUCACUGACACAAUCCGAUAUCUGAUCCAAAAAGAAGAAAACGAUCAAACACGGUAUAUACACUAUAUAGAGAUUGAGUAUUGGGAACAAGGUCAAAUAAAGGAGAAACAAAAUAAAAUGAAAAAACGUCCAAUCUUGGUAAAAGAGCCGAUACCGAAUGAUAAGUCUAGUGGUCCGAAUACGCUCGUUGUGAUGUUUGUUGUGUCUUUCAUAAGUUCUGGACUAUUCAUUCCAAAGGGUAGUUAAUCUACUAAAUCGAGCGGUCGCUCUUCAUCAAAAACUCCUAUCCGGAUCGAGAAUGCUAGGAAUAAGAUCUCCGGUAGCAAUACAACGAGGAUGGACGGUAUAAACACCUAAAGUCCCGGUAAGCGGGUGACUUACAAUCGCACCAAUGAGAGUAGGAGGUAUAACAAAACCGUACUCGAAGCGAGUCCUCGUAUCGAGUAUGGUUUUGUUAAUGAGUGUACCCACCGGACUUUUGGGUUUAUACAGUAUAUCCUCGUUGUUGGGACUCUAGAGUGACAAACGGAGAUCAAUAGGUUAUGUCCCUCAAUCCAUACUUCUCCUCUCGUUGUUGAUACGUGGUGUUGUUAAAAUAAGUGGAGGAUGAGUAUAUGGAGUUGUGGUCCUCUACACAGGUUACCUCAAUUUACCAGGAGGUGAACCAAUUGGUUGUUGAGGUCGUGUACAACUCGUUAGGGUACGUGUUCACGGGUGUGUUCUACUGAAACUACUAUAUCUGUUCGAGUGUAACGAAUCGGAGCUCAAGUGAACCUCACGACUUCUACUAGGUUAAUCCGGCCACUAUGAUCUCCUUUACUUCUUCUAGUUCUCACCUUUUCUCGAUCACCUUCUUCAUUCCUUUUAACUCUCCUUAUAAUUACAGCCCACGUGAUAGAGUAGGGAGGAACUCAACUCACAACGGCCCUAUAGGGAACUCCACACACUCCAAAGUUGUGGCAGUGUAAGUCGACUCAUUCUAUCGCUCUCAGGUAUCCUUCUCUAUGAAGUCUAGGUUCUUCUUUAUGAACUUCUGUUCCUUGUUCUGCUAGAUCUCGACGUUAAGGGUUCACUAGUUCUACUUCUGUUUUCUAGAUGAUGAGAACUUCUUCAUUUUCUUCAACAACAUCUACUUGAACUUCUUGGUCUUUAAGUAAACGGAUAACAGUAUGUUCUCGCACUACACAGUCCAAAUAGAUUAGGAGAAUUACUGUACAGAGGUAUACUAAACAAACGAUGAUGGAACGUAACGUAAUACGGUAGUGAAUUCCAUCUAAACUUUUUGAUAAACGAACCUAAACUAGUAUGUGUGGAACAAUCACCGUGACGAGUAUAGAGACAAGUACUAUGAAUACAAGGACUACAAUAUGGGUACGAAUUACUUUGCACACUAAGAUUAUGAUCGUAACUCGAAUGACUAAACAUGGUAGGAUUUGAACACAAAAUAUCGAUACGAAUACAUUAACCCAUGAGAUAACUACUAAAUCUCCCGUAAUGAGGAUAGUGAGCAUAAUAGAGAAACCAACUCACGGAAAAGUCCAAAAACGAACACGUACUUUGUUAUGUACGACUGGCCCAGGCUCCACUGUAAGGAACCCUGGGGCCACCUGAGACUCGUACCACUACUGCUCUUCGUCCCCCGUGUGUACUUCUUCUCACUUCGACCUCGUACGUGCUCCUUCGUUUCCUGUUCUCAACGUCGAAUCUCUCACUAGUUCGCUCACGAUGUACUAGUUUCGGGCCACAUAUGGUACAAGAGCCCUAGCCACUAUACAAGGAAACCCCUCCGUUUGUUUUUUUUAAUAUUAACCAGCUCGGUCCACAUAUGGUACAAGAGCCCUAGCCACCAUACAAGGAAGCUACACUGACUAUUAUAUAAUAGUAAUGAAGGAAGUUUAAAUUAUUCACCAAGUUGGUGUUACAAUAUAAAGACGUUUAUUCACUAAAUUAAGUUCAAGGAAAACAAAAAUCCUAGUACGAGAGAAAUCCUUGGAAACCGUAUCAGUUGUAAACUUGAACGAUUAUAAGAACAUAGUAACAUUUUCAAAUUUUGCUGGCUAAGAUGAUCAUAGGAUAACGAAACAUUGUGAGAAUUGGUAACUAAAAGUGAUCGAUACAGGUUUCGUACGUUACAAACCUCUAGGUGAAGUGACCAUGUAAGAGAUCAGUCG
This 3463-nucleotide ribosomal RNA is filed under the name Triticum aestivum (bread wheat). RNAcentral's name for it is "partial small subunit ribosomal RNA". Lineage: Eukaryota; Viridiplantae; Streptophyta; Magnoliopsida; Poales; Poaceae. The record is from RNAcentral.